This 397-nucleotide ribosomal RNA is filed under the name uncultured bacterium. RNAcentral describes it as "partial 16S ribosomal RNA". It matches the Rfam family "Bacterial small subunit ribosomal RNA", at positions 523 to 918 of the family's 1533-position model. The record is from RNAcentral.
AUACGUAGGUGACAAGCGUUAUCCGGAUUUACUGGGCGUAAAGGGCGUGUAGGCGGUCUUGCAAGUCAGAAGUGAAAUUCCUGAGCUCAACUCGGGCGCUGCUUCUGAAACUGCAGGACUUGAGUGCUGGAGGGGAUAGCGGAAUUCCUAGUGGAGCGGUAAAAUGCGCAGAUAUUAGGAAGAACACCGGUGGCGAAUGCGGCUAUCACGCCAGUAACUGACGUUUAGGCGCGAAAGCGUGGGGAGCAAACAUGAUUAGAUGCCCUGGUAGUCCACGCUGUAAACGAUGAAUACUAGGUGUAGGGAGUAUCGCCUCCCUCUGUGCCGCAGUUAACGCAUUAAGUAUUCCGCCUGGGGAGUACGGCCGCAAGGUUGAAACUCAAAGGAAUUGACGGGG